Molecule: microRNA precursor, 103 nt
Filed under: Marmota monax (woodchuck)
Lineage: Eukaryota; Metazoa; Chordata; Mammalia; Rodentia; Sciuridae
Source: RNAcentral
AGUGAGAUAACUGGGUCAAAUGAUGGUUCCAUUCCAUUUUUUCUGAGGAGUCUUCAUACUGUUUUCCAGAGUGGUUGCACCAAUUUGUAGUCCCACCAGCAAU